UAAUACGUAGGUGGCAAGCGUUGUCCGGAAUUAUUGGGCGUAAAGCGCGCGCAGGCGGUCCUUUAAGUCUGAUGUGAAAGCCCACGGCUCAACCGUGGAGGGUCAUUGGAAACUGGGGGACUUGAGUGCAGGAGAGAAGAGUGGAAUUCCACGUGUAGCGGUGAAAUGCGUAGAGAUGUGGAGGAACACCAGUGGCGAAGGCGACUCUUUGGCCUGUAACUGACGCUGAGGCGCGAAAGCGUGGGGAGCAAACAGGAUUAGAUACCCUGGUAGUCCACGCCGUAAACGAUGAGUGCUAAGUGUUAGAGGGUUUCCGCCCUUUAGUGCUGCAGUAAACGCAUUAAGCACUCCGCCUGGGGAGUACGGCCGCAAGGCUG
This 377-nucleotide ribosomal RNA is filed under the name uncultured bacterium. RNAcentral's name for it is "bacterial SSU rRNA". It matches the Rfam family "Bacterial small subunit ribosomal RNA", at positions 521 to 896 of the family's 1533-position model. The record is from RNAcentral.